Molecule: long non-coding RNA, 1828 nt
Filed under: Hordeum vulgare
Lineage: Eukaryota; Viridiplantae; Streptophyta; Magnoliopsida; Poales; Poaceae
Description: long non-coding RNA (HVUL_LNC007090)
Source: RNAcentral
UUAGGAUUAAUCUUGACAUGUGUUGUACACAUGCAAGUGUGCAUGUCACGUUAGUAUUAGGUUGUGGCCGAGUGAUUUGGCCAAGUUAGUUAGACCGUUAGAGGAGGAACAUGUGCAUUGUGAGGAUGUGCAUGGAAAGGUCAAAGAGAAGUAGUCAGCAUGCACGUAGCUUAGUUUGUUAGGCUGGUCAUAGUGGAGAGUAUCAUAUAGUAGUACCAUGCAUAUGAUACUAUUGUAUGAUACUACCUUCAUAGUGUAUAGUAUCAUAAAUUAGUAUCAUAUAUAUAACCUCAUUUAUUAACACGCAUGACACAUAGUAGCAUAGCAUUUAACAUGUUACAGUAUCUAUCUAUAUUACUCUAACUCUCUCUCUCAUCUUUAAUUGUGUGCCACAUCAGCAUAUUUGCUAAUUUCAAGAACAUGAUACUACCUAAGUUACUCCCACUAUGACCAGCCUUAGAUGCACAACCAUGGAGUGAUUUCAGAAGUUGUUAGCUGGACGUGUAGUUAGUUGGGUUACUGGAGUAAUGGGUCAAAGGAGUGGCAUUAGUGCAUGGGGUGGUGGCCGUGUGACGUGGUUGUGAUGUAGUAUGUGAGUCCCUUGUACUAGCUAUAUAAGUCCAUCAGAUGAAUGAGAAUAGGGAAGCCAGUGAGGGCUGGGAGAAACAAUGUAGCAUUUGUGUCAUCAAGGAGGAGAGCUCUUGGCAAAGGCUGGUGCUGGUUUCUUCCUUGGGCGAGUGUGUGUGUAUGUGUUCAUAAGUGUUCUUGUGUGUGUGUUUGAGAGAAAUAACCAGAGUGAGAAGAAAGUAACCUCAGGAGAGUUGUGCAAGGCAGCUCGAGGUAUAAGAAGAAGCGGCGCUGCGAGGAGGUGGCGCCAACAAUUGGUAUCAGAGCCUUGUCGAUUCGAGACGGUGGCAGCGCGACAGACUCCAUGUAAGGUGGAGGACGGCGGCGCAAGGUGGAGGCCGUCGGCGGCGUGAUGCCGCUGGUAGUCGGUUGCGGUGUGAUGCCGCAAGAUGAUGAUGGCAUGGUGACCGGCGUCGCAAAGGCGUCGUCCAUGUCAAGAGAUGGCCUCCGCAUGCGGCAGGAGGUCGAGGUACUCGGCGAUGCGACGACGUCGUCCACGAGAAGGAGGUGUUUGGCGGUGUGAUGCCGUGCGGACAUGUGGAUGCGGUGCGAUGCCGCACGAACAUGUAGCUGCGGUGCGAUGCUGUAAGAGGAGGUGGCGGUGCGAAGCUGCCACAUGAAGACAAUGAUGUGACAUCGAUGCGAGGUAAAGCGGUGCGAAUCCGAAGCCAUCAAGAGGAUCGAUGUGAAGCUAGCCCAUGGUAGUGUGCUGGGUGGUGUGACGCCAUCCCCAAGAUGAUUCGCUACGACGACGGCAAGAUGAACGUGACCAGUGGUGUGAUGCCAGUGAAGGACGUGCAAGUGGAGAUCGAUGGUGCGGCAUGGUGAAACGACAUCAUGACGCAAGGUGGUGUGGUCUUGGCACUGCGAACAUGUCACCCAUGACUUGAUGAAGCUGCUACACGGGUGCGGCAAGAAGGUAUAGAUGACUCCAUGAGUCCAUAUCAAGAUUAGGGAGGAAAUUGUUAGGAUUAAUCUUGACAUGUGUUGUACACAUGCAAGUGUGCAUGUCACGUUAGCAUUAGCUAGGUUGUCAGGAUUUGUUAAGUGGCCGAGUGAUUUGGCCAAGUUAGUUAGACCGUUAGAGGAGGAACAUGUGCAUUGUGAGGAUGUGCAUGGAUAGGUCCAAGAGAAGUAGUCAGCAUGCAUGUAGCUUAGUUUGUUAAAUGCACAACCGUGGAGUGAUUUCAGGAGUUGUUAG